AUUGAACGCUGGCUGCAUGCUUAACACAUGCAAGUCGAACGGCAGCGCGGGUAGCUUGCUACCUGGCGGCGAGUGGCGGACGGGUGAGUAACGCGUAGGAAUCUGCCUUAUAGUGGGGGACAACUCGGGGAAACUCGAGCUAAUACCGCAUAAUCUCUACGGAGCAAAGCGGGGGAUCUUCGGACCUCGCGCUAUAAGAUGAGCCUGCGUUGGAUUAGCUUGUUGGUAGGGUAAAGGCCUACCAAGGCGACGAUCCAUAGCUGGUCUGAGAGGACGAUCAGCCACACUGGGACUGAGACACGGCCCAG
This 308-nucleotide ribosomal RNA is filed under the name uncultured bacterium. RNAcentral's name for it is "bacterial SSU rRNA". It matches the Rfam family "Bacterial small subunit ribosomal RNA", at positions 30 to 334 of the family's 1533-position model. The record is from RNAcentral.